GCUAGCUACAGGCUUAACACAUGCAAGUCGAGGGGCAGCAUGGUCUUAGCUUGCUAAGGCCGAUGGCGACCGGCGCACGGGUGAGUAACACGUAUCCAACCUGCCGUCUACUCUUGGACAGCCUUCUGAAAGGAAGAUUAAUACAAGAUGGCAUCAUGAGUCCGCAUGUUCACAUGAUUAAAGGUAUUCCGGUAGACGAUGGGGAUGCGUUCCAUUAGAUAGUAGGCGGGGUAACGGCCCACCUAGUCUUCGAUGGAUAGGGGUUCUGAGAGGAAGGUCCCCCACAUUGGAACUGAGACACGGUCCAAACUCCUACGGGAGGCAGCAGUGAGGAAUAUUGGUCAAUGGGCGAGAGCCUGAACCAGCCAAGUAGCGUGAAGGAUGACUGCCUUAUGGGUUGUAAACUUCUUUUAUAAAGGAAUAAAGUCGGGUAUGGAUACCCGUUUGCAUGUACUUUAUGAAUAAGGAUCGGCUAACUCCGUGCCAGCAGCCGCGGUAAUACGGAGGAUUCGAGCGUUAUCCGGAUUUAUUGGGUUUAAAGGGAGCGUAGAUGGAUGUUUAAGUCAGUUGUGAAAGUUUGCGGCUCAACCGUAAAAUUGCAGUUGAUACUGGAUAUCUUGAGUGCAGUUGAGGCAGGCGGAAUUCGUGGUGUAGCGGUGAAAUGCUUAGAUAUCACGAAGAACUCCGAUUGCGAAGGCAGCCUGCUAAGCUGCAACUGACAUUGAGGCUCGAAAGUGUGGGUAUCAAACAGGAUUAGAUACCCUGGUAGUCCACACGGUAAACGAUGAAUACUCGCUGUUUGCGAUAUACGGCAAGCGGCCAAGCGAAAGCGUUAAGUAUUCCACCUGGGGAGUACGCCGGCAACGGUGAAACUCAAAGGAAUUGACGGGGGCCCGCACAAGCGGAGGAACAUGUGGUUUAAUUCGAUGAUACGCGAGGAACCUUACCCGGGCUUAAAUUGCAGAUGAAUUACGGUGAAAGCCGUAAGCCGCAAGGCAUCUGUGAAGGUGCUGCAUGGUUGUCGUCAGCUCGUGCCGUGAGGUGUCGGCUUAAGUGCCAUAACGAGCGCAACCCUUGUUGUCAGUUACUAACAGGUUCUGCUGAGGACUCUGACAAGACUGCCAUCGUAAGAUGUGAGGAAGGUGGGGAUGACGUCAAAUCAGCACGGCCCUUACGUCCGGGGCUACACACGUGUUACAAUGGGGGGUACAGAGGGCCGCUACCACGCGAGUGGAUGCCAAUCCCAAAAACCUCUCUCAGUUCGGACUGGAGUCUGCAACCCGACUCCACGAAGCUGGAUUCGCUAGUAAUCGCGCAUCAGCCACGGCGCGGUGAAUACGUUCCCGGGCCUUGUACACACCGCCCGUCAAGCCAUGGGAGCCGGGGGUACCUGAAGUGCGUAACCGCGAGGAGCGCCCUAGGGUAAAACUGG
RNAcentral lists this ribosomal RNA (1432 nucleotides) under uncultured organism. RNAcentral describes it as "SSU rRNA". It matches the Rfam family "Bacterial small subunit ribosomal RNA". The record is from RNAcentral.